AACUUUCAGCAACGGAUCUCUUGGCUCUCGCAUCGAUGAAGAACGCAGCGAAUUGCGAUAUGUAAUGUGAAUUGCAGAUUUUCAGUGAAUCAUCGAAUCUUUGAACGCACCUUGCGCUCCUUGGUAUUCCGAGGAGCAUGCCUGUUUGAGUGUCA
Serpula lacrymans var. lacrymans S7.3 is the source of this 155-nucleotide ribosomal RNA. It matches the Rfam family "5.8S ribosomal RNA". Rfam says of the family: 5.8S ribosomal RNA (5.8S rRNA) is a component of the large subunit of the eukaryotic ribosome. It is transcribed by RNA polymerase I as part of the 45S precursor that also contains 18S and 28S rRNA. The record is from Rfam. Lineage: Eukaryota; Fungi; Basidiomycota; Agaricomycetes; Boletales; Serpulaceae.